RNAcentral lists this ribosomal RNA (930 nucleotides) under Triticum aestivum (bread wheat). RNAcentral's name for it is "partial small subunit ribosomal RNA". Lineage: Eukaryota; Viridiplantae; Streptophyta; Magnoliopsida; Poales; Poaceae. The record is from RNAcentral.
AUGUGCCCCGGGGCGCCGGUCGCGGCGGCGGCGUCGGACAAGAGCGUGUGCGUGAUGGACGCGUCCGGCCCGCUGGGCCAGGCGCUCGUGCACCGCCUCCUCCGCCGGGGCUACACCGUCCACGCCACCACCUACGGCCGCUCGCUCGACGCGCUCGCGCUGCUCGCCGCCGCCGGCCACGACGAGGACCGGCUCAAGCUCUUCCGCGCCGACCCCUUCGACUACCACUCCAUCGCCGACGCCGUCCGCGGCUGCUCCGGCCUCUUCUGCAUGUUCAACACCCACGAGGACCAGGCCGGCUGCGACGAGGUGAUGGUGGAGGUGGAGGUCCGGGCGGCGCAGAACGUGCUGGAGGCGUGCGCGCAGACGGUGACCAUGGAGCGGGUGGUCUUCACCUCCUCCGUCACCGCCGUCGUCUGGAAGGACGACGACCACAAGCCCGUCGACGCCUUCGACGAGCGGAACUGGAGCGACCUCAACCUCUGCAGGAAGCGCAAGUUGUGGCAUGCGCUGGCCAAGACGCUGUCGGAGAAGACGGCCUGGGCCUUGGCCAUGGACAGAGGGGUGGACAUGGUGGCCAUCAACGCCGGCCUGCUCACCGGGCCGGGGCUCUCCUCCGCCCACCCCUGCCUCAAGGGGGUCCCCGAGAUGUACGAGCACGGCGUCCUCGUCACCGUCGACGCCGACUUCCUCGCCGACGCCCACGUGGCCGCCUACGAGUGCCCCACGGCCUUCGGCCGCUACCUCUGCUUCAACAACGUCGUGUGCCGGCCCGAGGACGCCCUCCAGUUCGCCCAGAUGCUCACCCCGUCCGCUCCAUGCUACCCGCCGAGUGAUGAGCUGAAGGUGAUCCCACAAAGGAUUCAGAACAAGAAGCUGAACAACCUGAUGGUGGAGUUUGCCAGUGCCAUAUACGGGGACUUGGAUUAG